This 200-nucleotide long non-coding RNA is filed under the name Elaeis guineensis (African oil palm). RNAcentral's name for it is "long non-coding RNA (EGUI_LNC036804)". The record is from RNAcentral. Lineage: Eukaryota; Viridiplantae; Streptophyta; Magnoliopsida; Arecales; Arecaceae.
GAUGGGUACCGCAGAUACCUUCAUGGAUAUUCUAUAGAGCAUAUUCUGCCUCUAAUGGAUGGAGGCAUUGGAGUAACAGCAUUGAGUAUGACCUAUUAUAUAGCUUCCCCUCGUAUACCAAAUACUGAGGUGUUAGGUAUCUCAGCUUCCUAGCCUCUUCUCGAUUGACAGGCAGAGCUUUCUCUUAUAGAAAUUGGACA